UACAGAGGUCUCAAGCGUUGUUCGGAUUCAUUGGGCGUAAAGGGUGCGUAGGCGGCGCGGUAAGUCGGUUGUGAAAGCCCCGGGCUCAACCUGGGAAUUGCAUUCGAGACUGAAUAGCUAGGGUACGGUAGAGGGAAGCGGAAUUUCCGGUGUAGCGGUGAAAUGCGUAGAUAUCGGAAGGAACAUCAGUGGCGAAAGCGGCUUCCUGGACCAGUACCGACGUUCAGGCACGAAAGCGUGGGGAGCAAACAGG
RNAcentral lists this ribosomal RNA (253 nucleotides) under uncultured bacterium. RNAcentral describes it as "partial 16S ribosomal RNA". It matches the Rfam family "Bacterial small subunit ribosomal RNA", at positions 524 to 776 of the family's 1533-position model. The record is from RNAcentral.